GCCACUGUGUUGGAACUGGUAGACAAACUUGACUCAAAAUCAAGCGCCCCCAAGGCGUGACGGUUCGAAUCCGUCCAGUGGCACCA
This 86-nucleotide transfer RNA is filed under the name Acholeplasmataceae bacterium. RNAcentral describes it as "tRNA-Leu". It matches the Rfam family "tRNA". From Rfam's summary of the family: Transfer RNA (tRNA) molecules are approximately 80 nucleotides in length. Their secondary structure includes four short double-helical elements and three loops (D, anti-codon, and T loops). Further hydrogen bonds mediate the characteristic L-shaped molecular structure. tRNAs have two regions of fundamental functional importance: the anti-codon, which is responsible for specific mRNA codon recognition, and the 3' end, to which the tRNAs corresponding amino acid is attached (by aminoacyl-tRNA synthetases). tRNAs cope with the degeneracy of the genetic code in two manners: having more than one tRNA (with a specific anti-codon) for a particular amino acid; and 'wobble' base-pairing, i.e. permitting non-standard base-pairing at the 3rd anti-codon position. Lineage: Bacteria; Bacillati; Mycoplasmatota; Mollicutes; Acholeplasmatales; Acholeplasmataceae. The record is from RNAcentral.